AUACGGAGGAUGCAAGCGUUAUCCGGAUUUAUUGGGUUUAAAGGGUGCGUAGGCGGAUGAUUAAGCGUGAGGUGAAAUGCCACUGCCCAACAGUGGAACUGCCUCGCGAACUGGUUGUCUUGAAUGCUCCUGCCGUGGGAGGAAUGUGUGGUGUAGCGGUGAAAUGCAUAGAGAUCACACAGAACACCGAUUGCGAAGGCAUCUCACGAAGGGGUGAUUGACGCUGAGGCACGAAAGCGUGGGGAUCAAACAGGAUUAGAUACCCUGGUAGUCCACGCAGUAAACGAUGAUAACUAACCGCUGGGUCGUAGUGAUUCAGUGGCCAAGCGAAAGCGAUAAGUUAUCCACCUGGGGAGUACGACCGCAAGGUUGAAACUCAAAUGAAUUGACGGGG
This 394-nucleotide ribosomal RNA is filed under the name uncultured bacterium. Its description in RNAcentral is "partial 16S ribosomal RNA". It matches the Rfam family "Bacterial small subunit ribosomal RNA", at positions 523 to 918 of the family's 1533-position model. The record is from RNAcentral.